CAGGAAGAGAUGCUUUAAAUGGCUCGCACUGGGAAGUUUCCCAAUGUAACUGCUCGUAAAACUUCAACAUAUCCACAGAUUCAUAUUCGAGGCGAACACUUUAAACCCAGCUCUGAUUUCUUCAUACUUUUUAAACCUGUCACAAGCUGGUGUGGCACCAUUAAAUCUUUCCUUAGAAAACAUGGUUAAAUCUGACUUCAACUGACAUAGCAUUGAUUCUUCCAUAAAUCAUAAAGCAGUGAACGCAGGUUCACUGGAGCAAGGGGUGAAUUACACAAGUAAACUAAAUAACUCAAUCAGCAAAGGUCCAGCUUUGAUUUCACGGUGGUCAAAUGACCUUUGAUUCCAGUCGACAUUUCGGUUAAGUUACACAACACACAAAACUUGGCAUCCAGCAAAGCAAAUGGUCUUGAAUUACAGGAUAAACUGGUACUGCCUAGGCCAAACCUGUGCAGUCAGCCUGGGAACUAAGGGAUCUGACCAUACAAAACGGCUCACUUGUCACUCUAUUGUCUCUACGCACUCCUAAGUCUCUACGCAACAAUCAUGGAGUCUGCAAAUUAUCCAAUGCCUGUCAAUCAAAAAGAGGAAAAAGGCAUUGGAAGAAUUUGGACACGAGGUCAACUUCUGCUACUGAAAGCGAGUUCCCAUCACAUCAUUUAUCUACCUGAAAAAUCAGGUUCUAGGCUCACCUGGGAGACAAACCUCUGAGGAUGCCUGGGAAGACUGAAGCUCUUGCUGCCAAACCUUCCUCACUGUGAUAGACUUCCUCUCCAUGUGACUUCCCUUUAAACUG
Molecule: long non-coding RNA, 796 nt
Organism: Alexandromys fortis (reed vole)
Lineage: Eukaryota; Metazoa; Chordata; Mammalia; Rodentia; Cricetidae
Exons: 3
Source: RefSeq, a predicted model, not a curated record